ACACACAACCAACAGCGGGAUGCUCAGAGGCAACAAGAGGUGACGGCAGAAGAUUAUGUGCUGUAAGAAGCUCCAAUCAGCCAGUAAAUGACUGAUGAAGAACAUGUCAACAUGUUGGACGAGCACACGCAGUCUCUGCCAGAGCGCCGCGGGCAGACGGCCAUCCUGAUGACGUAAACGAGGCGCCUCCAACCCUGAUGAAGAUUACAUGUGUUUGUGAAGUUGAUCCUAUUUACAUUCAGUGCAAGCAAACAUGAUAUUCAUUAUUUUGGGUCACAACAAGAGUGCAAUGUUACUGGUAUAUCUUAACAUAAUAUCAUUGUGAUAUUGGCAACUAUGUGCAGC
Sebastes umbrosus (honeycomb rockfish) is the source of this 345-nucleotide long non-coding RNA. RefSeq lists it as uncharacterized. NCBI's taxonomy places the organism in Eukaryota, Metazoa, Chordata, Actinopteri, Perciformes, Sebastidae. The record is from RefSeq and is a predicted model, not a curated record. The transcript is spliced from 3 exons.